This 22-nucleotide ribosomal RNA is filed under the name Ulva intestinalis (hollow green seaweed). RNAcentral describes it as "partial 5.8S ribosomal RNA". Lineage: Eukaryota; Viridiplantae; Chlorophyta; Ulvophyceae; Ulvales; Ulvaceae. The record is from RNAcentral.
CACAUCCGCCUCAGCGUCRGGA